Molecule: ribosomal RNA, 460 nt
Filed under: uncultured bacterium
Lineage: Bacteria
Description: partial 16S ribosomal RNA
Source: RNAcentral
CACCCCAGUCAUGAAUCUCACCGUGGUAAGCGCCCUCCCGAAGGUUAAGCUACCUACUUCUGGUGAAACCCACUCCCAUGGUGUGACANNGCGGUGUGUACAAGACCCGGGAACGUAUUCACCGCAGCAUGCUGAUCAGCGAUUACUAGCGAUUCCGACUUCACGUAGCCGAGUUGCAGACUACGAUCCGGACUACGAUCGGCUUUGUGGGAUUGGCUCCACCUCGCGGCUUGGCAACCCUCUGUACCGACCAUUGUAUGACGUGUGAAGCCCUACCCAUAAGGGCCAUGAGGACUUGACGUCAUCCCCACCUUCCUCCGGUUUGUCACCGGCAGUCUCAUUAGAGUGCCCAACUAAAUGAUGGCAACUAAUGACAAGGGUUGCGCUCGUUGCGGGACUUACCAACAUCUACGACACGAGCUGCCACAGCAUGCAGCCCUGUGUUCUGGCUNCCGAAGGC